Molecule: transfer RNA, 78 nt
Filed under: Caudoviricetes sp.
Lineage: Duplodnaviria; Heunggongvirae; Uroviricota; Caudoviricetes
Description: tRNA-Ser
Rfam family: tRNA
About the family: Transfer RNA (tRNA) molecules are approximately 80 nucleotides in length. Their secondary structure includes four short double-helical elements and three loops (D, anti-codon, and T loops).
Source: RNAcentral
GGCUAUGUAGCUCAGUCGGUAGAGCCAGGUGCGCCCCACCCAUUGUCGCUGGUUCGAUUCCAGCCAUAGCAAGUCCGA